AAUUCAUUGAGAAUUUGAUCUUGGUUCAGAUUGAAUGCUGACGGCGUGGAUGAGGCAUGCGAGUCGAACGGAUUUUCGGGGCAACUCGAAAAUCAGUGGCGGAAGGGUUAGUAAUACAUGAGUAAUUUGCCUCAACCCUGGGGAUAACGGCUGGAAACGGCCGCUAAUACCGAAUGUGGUGGCGAAAGGCAUCUUUCGCUCAUCAAAGUGGGGGACCGUAAGGCCUCGCGGGUUGAGAAAAGUUCAUGGGAUAUCAGCUAGUUGGUGUGGUAAUGGCGCACCAAGGCUAAGACGUCUAGGCGGAUUGAGAGAUUGACCGCCAACAUUGGGACUGAGAUACUGCCCAGACUCCUACGGGAGGCUGCAGUCGAGAAUCAUUCGCAAUGGGCGAAAGCCUGACGAUGCGACGCCGUGUGAGCGAUGAAGGCCUUCGGGUUGUAAAG
Molecule: ribosomal RNA, 443 nt
Filed under: uncultured bacterium
Lineage: Bacteria
Description: bacterial SSU rRNA
Rfam family: Bacterial small subunit ribosomal RNA
Source: RNAcentral